RNAcentral lists this ribosomal RNA (469 nucleotides) under uncultured bacterium. RNAcentral's name for it is "partial 16S ribosomal RNA". It matches the Rfam family "Bacterial small subunit ribosomal RNA", at positions 28 to 507 of the family's 1533-position model. The record is from RNAcentral.
GAUGAACGCUGGCGGCGUGCUUAACACAUGCAAGUCGAACGGUGAAGCUCCAGCUUGCUGGAGUGGAUCAGUGGCGAACGGGUGAGUAACACGUGAGCAACCUGCCCCUGACUCUGGGAUAACAGCCGGAAACGGCUGCUAAUACCGGAUAUGCACCAUGAACGCAUGUUCUGUGGUGGGAAAGAUUUUUCGGUUGGGGAUGGGCUCGCGGGCUAUCAGCUUGUUGGUGAGGUAAUGGCUCACCAAGGCGUCGACGGGUAGCCGGCCUGAGAGGGUGACCGGCCACACUGGGACUGAGACACGGCCCAGACUCCUACGGGAGGCAGCAGUGGGGAAUAUUGCACAAUGGGCGAAAGCCUGAUGCAGCAACGCCGCGUGAGGGAUGACGGCCUUCGGGUUGUAAACCUCUUUUAGCAGGGAAGAAGCGAGAGUGACGGUACCUGCAGAAAAAGCGCCGGCUAACUACGUG